AAUGGUUACUGAUACCGGAUACGGGCGUCGAGGCAACUCUACGCCCGUUCCGCAUGUUAAGGGUAAAAUUAAAUGG
This is a non-coding RNA of Providencia rettgeri DSM 1131, 76 nucleotides long. The record is from Rfam. NCBI's taxonomy places the organism in Bacteria, Pseudomonadati, Pseudomonadota, Gammaproteobacteria, Enterobacterales, Morganellaceae.